This 772-nucleotide long non-coding RNA is filed under the name Homo sapiens (human). RNAcentral describes it as "HSALNT0061370". The record is from RNAcentral. Lineage: Eukaryota; Metazoa; Chordata; Mammalia; Primates; Hominidae.
GUGGCUUAAACAAUAAAAAUUUAUUUUCUCACAGUCUGGAACCCGAAAGUUCAAGAUCAAAGUGUUGGCAGGGCUGGCUUCCUCUGAGGCCUCUCUUCUUGGAUUGCACAUGGCCACUCUUUUGCUGCCUCUUCACAUGGGCUUUUCUCUGUGCCUCCAUGUCCCUUGUGUAUCUCUUCUGUGUACAAGUUUCUUCUUAUAAGGAGACCAGUCAUAUUGGAUUAAGGACCACUCUAAUGGCUUCAUUUUAACUUAACCACCUCUUUAAAAGCCCCACCUCCAAAUACUGUCACAUCCUGAGAUACUGGAGGCUAGGGCUUCAAUCUAUAAAUGUUGAGGAGAUACAAUUCAGCACAUGACAGCGCCCCUUUGCAGAUUCCUGCUCUCUGAUUGCCCUAUGAUUCACCACUAAGGAAGCCAGUGACCACAGGGUCCUCCACUUCUUAAAAGAAUGCCCACUCCAAACUAAGAGAGAAGUGGGAGAGUCUUGGGACCUGCACACCUUAGGCAUACCUGUGCUUGACUACAGAGUGAGCCUCUUUUCUGUUUCCUGUUUGCUAACAAAUCUCAUUCUCCUGAAGGACCCUGGUCAAUGUGAACAGGUCCCAUUUGCCAGUGGCUGUAGGUCAAUUUGCUGAAUGCCAGUUGUUUCCAUUUUACAUGUGUAGUCCCUGCCAGUCCCACCCCUUCUCUUCCUGUCCCUCUAAGUUUCUUCAGUUGUUUCCAAUCUCUCUUGUUUUUUUUCCACCAGUCCCUCUAAGUGCCUUUUAUC